UCAGCCCGCGCCCCGUAAAACGGGACGGCCCGCCAGAGGACCCAAACUCUAAUGUUUCUUAUUGUAACUUCUGAGUAAAACAAACAAAUAAAUCAAAACUUUCAACAACGGAUCUCUUGGUUCUGGCAUCGAUGAAGAACGCAGCAAAAUGCGAUAAGUAAUGUGAAUUGCAGAAUUCAGUGAAUCAUCGAAUCUUUGAACGCACAUUGCGCCCGCUGGUAUUCCGGCGGGCAUGCCUGUUCGAGCGUCAUUUCAACCCUCAAGCCCCCGGGUUUGGUGUUGGGGAUCGGCUCUGCCUCACGGCGGUGCCGCCCCCGAAAUACAUUGGCGGUCUCGCUGCAGCCUCCAUUGCGUAGUAGCUAACACCUCGCAACUGGAACGCGGCGCGGCCAUGCCGUAAAACCCCAACUUCUGAAUGUUGACCUCGGAUCAGGUAGGAAUACCCGCUGAACUUAAGCAUA
RNAcentral lists this ribosomal RNA (461 nucleotides) under Fusarium lateritium. Its description in RNAcentral is "eukaryotic LSU rRNA". The stretch from base 97 to 250 matches the Rfam family "5.8S ribosomal RNA". Lineage: Eukaryota; Fungi; Ascomycota; Sordariomycetes; Hypocreales; Nectriaceae. The record is from RNAcentral.